GUCAGUGUGCUGUAAUGGUUUGAGUGUUGGACUGUGACUCUAAAGAUCAGGGUUCAAUUCCCACAUCUGCCG
Non-coding RNA from Phrynosoma platyrhinos (Desert horned lizard), 72 nucleotides. The record is from the annotation of a GenBank genome assembly. NCBI's taxonomy places the organism in Eukaryota, Metazoa, Chordata, Lepidosauria, Squamata, Phrynosomatidae.